GACGAACGCUGGCGGCGUGCUUAACACAUGCAAGUCGAACGGAAAGGCCCUGCUUUUGUGGGGUGCUCGAGUGGCGAACGGGUGAGUAACACGUGAGUAACCUGCCCUUGACUUUGGGAUAACUUCAGGAAACUGGGGCUAAUACCGGAUAGGAGCUCCUGCUGCAUGGUGGGGGUUGGAAAGUUUCGGCGGUGGGGGAUGGACUCGCGGCUUGUCAGCUUGUUGGUGGGGUAGGGGCUUACCAAGGCUUUGACGGGUAGCAGGCCUGAGAGGGUGACCGGCCACAUUGGGACGGAGAGACGGACCGGACUCCUACGGGCGGCAGCAGUGAGGAAGAUUGCACAAGGGGCGGGAGCCUGAUGCAGCAACGCCGCGUGCGGGAUGACGGCCUUCGGGUGGUAAGCCGCUUUCGCCUGUGACGAAGCGUGAGUGACGGUAACGGGUAAAGAAGCACCGGCUAACUACGUG
This 468-nucleotide ribosomal RNA is filed under the name uncultured bacterium. Its description in RNAcentral is "partial 16S ribosomal RNA". It matches the Rfam family "Bacterial small subunit ribosomal RNA", at positions 28 to 507 of the family's 1533-position model. The record is from RNAcentral.